GAUUAACGCUGGCGGCGUGCAUAACACAUGCAAGUCGAACGAUGAAACUUAGUCGACUUCUUCGGAAAGACACUAAGCGGAUUAGUGGCGAACGGGUGAGUAACGCGUGAGUAACCUGCCUUACACAAGGGGAUAGCCUUUGGAAACGAAGAAUAAUACCCUAUAAAACCAUAAAAGCACAUGCUAGAAUGGUCAAAGUGAUAGCGGUGUAAGAUGGACUUGCGUCUGAUUAGCUAGUUGGUGAGAUAAAAGCUCACCAAGGCAACGAUCAGUAGCCGGCUGUGGAGAGUGUACGGCCACAUUGGGAACGGGCCACGGCCCAGACUCCUACGGGAGGGAGCAGUGGGGAAAUUUGCACAAUGGGGGAAACCCUGAUGCCGCGACGCCGCGUGAUUUAGAAGGCCUUCGGGUUGUAAAAAUCUUUUGUAUAGGAAGAAAAUGACAGUACUAUACGAAUAAGGUCCGGCUAAUUACGUG
Molecule: ribosomal RNA, 477 nt
Filed under: uncultured bacterium
Lineage: Bacteria
Description: partial 16S ribosomal RNA
Rfam family: Bacterial small subunit ribosomal RNA
Source: RNAcentral